Molecule: ribosomal RNA, 497 nt
Filed under: uncultured bacterium
Lineage: Bacteria
Description: partial 16S ribosomal RNA
Rfam family: Bacterial small subunit ribosomal RNA
Source: RNAcentral
GACGAACGCUGGCGGCGUGCCUAAUACAUGCAAGUUGAGCGCUGAAGGUUGGUACUUGUACCAACUGGAUGAGCAGCGAACGGGUGAGUAACGCGUGGGGAAUCUGCCUUUGAGCGGGGGACAACAUUUGGAAACGAAUGCUAAUACCGCAUAAAAACUUUAAACACAAGUUUUAAGUUUGAAAGAUGCAAUUGCAUCACUCAAAGAUGAUCCCGCGUUGUAUUAGCUAGUUGGUGAGGUAAAGGCUCACCAAGGCGAUGAUACAUAGCCGACCUGAGAGGGUGAUCGGCCACAAUGGGACUGAGAAACGGCCCAAACUCCUACGGGAGGCAGCAGUAGGGAAUCUUCGGCAAUGGACGAAAGUCUGACCGAGCAACGCCGCGUGAGUGAAGAAGGGUUUCGGAUCGUAAAACUCUGUUGGUAGAGAAGAACGUUGGUGAGAGUGGAAAGCUCAUCAAGUGACGGUAACUAAACAGAAAGGGACGGCUAACUACGUG